Molecule: ribosomal RNA, 399 nt
Filed under: alpha proteobacterium BAL185
Lineage: Bacteria; Pseudomonadati; Pseudomonadota; Alphaproteobacteria
Description: bacterial SSU rRNA
Rfam family: Bacterial small subunit ribosomal RNA
Source: RNAcentral
CAUGCCUAACACAUGCAAGUCGAACGAGACCUUCGGGUCUAGUGGCGCACGGGUGCGUAACGCGUGGGAAUCUGCCCUUUGGUACGGAAUAACUCAGAGAAAUUUGUGCUAAUACCGUAUAAUGACUUCGGUCCAAAGAUUUAUCGCCAAAGGAUGAGCCCGCGUAAGAUUAGCUAGUUGGUGAGGUAAAAGCUCACCAAGGCGACGAUCUUUAGCUGGUCUGAGAGGAUGAUCAGCCACACUGGGACUGAGACACGGCCCAGACUCCUACGGGAGGCAGCAGUGGGGAAUAUUGGACAAUGGGCGAAAGCCUGAUCCAGCAAUGCCGCGUGAGUGAUGAAGGCCUUAGGGUUGUAAAGCUCUUUUACCCGCGAUGAUAAUGACAGUAGCGGGAGAAUA